UGGGGAAUAUUGGACAAUGGGGGAAACCCUGAUCCAGCAACGCCGCGUGAGUGAUGAAGGCCUUAGGGUUGUAAAGCUCUUUUGCCGGGGACGAUAAUGACGGUACCCGGAGAAUAAGUCCCGGCUAACUUCGUGCCAGCAGCCGCGGUAAUACGAAGGGGACUAGCGUUGUUCGGAAUCACUGGGCGUAAAGCGCACGUAGGCGGAUUUGUAAGUCAGGGGUGAAAUCCCGGGGGCUCAACCUCGGAACUGCCUUUGAUACUGCGGAUCUCGAGUCCGAUAGAGGUGAGUGGAAUUCCUAGUGUAGAGGUGAAAUUCGUAGAUAUUAGGAAGAACACCGGUGGCGAAGGCGGCUCACUGGAUCGGUACUGACGCUGAGGUGCGAAAGCGUGGGGAGCAAACAGGAUUAGAUACCCUUGUAGUCCCUGAGCGGGCUGGCAAGGCGCAU
Molecule: ribosomal RNA, 448 nt
Filed under: uncultured bacterium
Lineage: Bacteria
Description: bacterial SSU rRNA
Rfam family: Bacterial small subunit ribosomal RNA
Source: RNAcentral